Molecule: long non-coding RNA, 606 nt
Organism: Daktulosphaira vitifoliae (grape phylloxera)
Lineage: Eukaryota; Metazoa; Arthropoda; Insecta; Hemiptera; Phylloxeridae
Exons: 3
Source: RefSeq, a predicted model, not a curated record
UGACUACGACAUGCUACUGAUGAUAGAACAGGGCAUUCGUGGUGGGCUGGUGCAAGACACUAAGUACUAUACAAAGGCUAACAAUUCUAAGGUAGCAGAUUACGAUCCGAAAAACCAGACUCUUGGAUCGUGUACCAAGACUGUAAUAACCUGUACGUUUGGGCUAUGAGGUAGCCCAUACUGCACGGAAGCUUCCGGUGGUAUGAAUGAGCAGAAUCUCUGGCAGACCUCUAAUUACUGUCGGAGACUGGUAAUACGAGACAUAUAUAUGAAGUGGACGUAUCAUAUCCAGAAGAGCUGCAUGAUGAGUACAAUGACUUGCCGUUCUUGCCUGUAAACGAUCUAUCACUGGGUUCCAAAGAGUCCAAACUCAUGGUCACAUUGAAACCCAAACAACGGUACGUUGUACACUAUGUCAACUUGAAACAGGCAAUCGCACAUGGACUGCAAGUCGAUAAAGUAUAUACAUCGUACCUAAAGCUAUGAUAUUAAUAUGUUUGUCACACAGGUGCACCGCGUUUUAAAGUUUCAACAAUGUGCUUGGUUGAAACCGUAUAUUGAUUUGAACACAGAAAUGCGAAAACAGCCGGAAAAUGCUUUUGAAUU